GACGAACGCUGGCGGCGUGCCUAACACAUGCAAGUUGAGCGACGAACCAGGGCUUGCCCUGGGGCAAAGCAGCGAACGGGUGAGUAACACGUGGGUAACCUACCCCGAUAACCGGGACAACCCGAGGAAACUCGGGCUAAUACCGGAUGUGCUCACUGGACUUCGGUUCAGUGCGUAAAGGAAGCUUCGGCCUCCGUAUCGGGAGGGGCCCGCGGCCCAUUAGUUAGUUGGUGAGGUAACGGCUCACCAAGACCGCGAUGGGUAGCUGGUCUGAGAGGACGAUGAGCCACACUGGGACUGAGACACGGCCCAGACUCCUACGGGAGGCAGCAGUGGGGAAUCUUGCGCAAUGCGCGAAAGCGUGACGCAGCAACGCCGCGUGGGGGAAGAAGGCCUUCGGGUUGUAAACCCCUUUCAGGAGGGACGAAGGUUCGGCGGUGAAUAGCCGUCCGGACUGACGGUACCUGCACAAGAAGCCCCGGCUAACUACGUGCCAGCCGCCGCCGUAA
RNAcentral lists this ribosomal RNA (509 nucleotides) under uncultured bacterium. RNAcentral's name for it is "partial 16S ribosomal RNA". It matches the Rfam family "Bacterial small subunit ribosomal RNA", at positions 28 to 523 of the family's 1533-position model. The record is from RNAcentral.